GAUUGAAACCACAUGCAAGAGCUCCACUGCCAGGGACAGCCAGGACAGCAUCAUCUAUCACUGUGAUGGCCAACUUAACAUAGCCAGGGACUUACAGCCCCAGUGCUUCAGCUAGCAUAAUUGUGGUUUGCUAUCUGCAACACUUCCUCCCAUUCAAUACUGUCUGAAAAUAUUGAUGUCAAGCCUGAGUUUCAGCUGUGGCCCUAGUCCUGGCCUAGGAGGAGAGGAUGGCCGACACUACAGUCAGGUGCUUGGACUGACAAGGAAUGAAGGGAGCACGUACAAAUACAUUCACUACAGAAGGGAGUGUACAAGAGGCAGUACUCCAAAAGUCAGUGUUUGGCAGCAGAGGCCACAGUCAUCACAGUUAUUUUUGAUUCAAAAUACAGGGAGGAACUGCAGUAAAUGGGACGUGCUAGCUUGCAACACUAACACAAUCUCAUCAAUGGAUAAUCACUGUUUACAUGUGCUGGAUAUCAGCAUCUAUAAACUCCUAAAACACCUGAACCUUAACUGA
RNAcentral lists this long non-coding RNA (517 nucleotides) under Cyanistes caeruleus (blue tit). RNAcentral describes it as "lncRNA (ENSCCEG00000016339.1)". The record is from RNAcentral. Lineage: Eukaryota; Metazoa; Chordata; Aves; Passeriformes; Paridae.